Molecule: ribosomal RNA, 253 nt
Filed under: uncultured prokaryote
Description: partial 16S ribosomal RNA
Rfam family: Bacterial small subunit ribosomal RNA
Source: RNAcentral
UACGUAAGUGGCAAGCGUUGUCCGGAUUUACUGGGCGUAAAGAGCGCGCAGGCGGUUGAUUAAGUCGAAUGUGAAAGCCCCGGGCUCAACCUGGGAACUGCAUCCAAAACUGGCAAGCUAGAGUAGGGCAGAGGGUGGUGGAAUUUCCUGUGUAGCGGUGAAAUGCGUAGAUAUAGGAAGGAACACCAGUGGCGAAGGCGACCACCUGGGCUCAUACUGACACUGAGGUGCGAAAGCGUGGGGAGCAAACAGG